GUAGUCAUAUGCUUGUUUCAAGGAUUAAGCCAUGCAAGUCUCAUAGUAAAUGGAUUAACAGUGGGUCUGCAGACGGCUCAUUAAAUCAGCAACAAUCUACGCGGGGAAAGUGCUGCAAGGCACUCACGUGGAUAACAUUGGUAACCCAAUGCUAAUACAUGUCAGAAGAAUCCGACUCAGGUCUCACUCCAGGGGUCAACCCUGGGGCUGGUCGGAUGCAGUUGACCGAAACAAAAACCAACGCUAGCAAUACCAGCGGUACAUGGAUGAAUCAGGUCAACCGAGCGAUAGCACAUGCUUCGGCGGUGCAAGCCCGCAAGAGCUUCUGCCCUAUCAGCUUGUCGGUAGUGUAGUGGACUACCGUGGCUGUAACGGGUAACGGGGAAUUAGGGUUCGAUUCCGGAGAGGGAGCCUGAGAAACGGCUACCACAUCUAAGGAUGGCAGCAGGCGCGCAAAUUGCCCAAUAGCAACACAGCUGAGGCAGCGAACAGAAAUAGCAUCUCUUACCCGCACCGCGGGUUGGAGAAUGCAAUGGGAGAUAUCUAAACCUGUCUAUGACGAUCAAUUGGUGGACAAGUCUGGUGCCAGCACCCGCGGUAAUUCCAGCACCAAUAGCGUAUAUUAAUGCUGCUGCUGUUAAAAAGCUCGUAGUUGGAUCCAGGGUUGCAGGUUGUACAGGGGCCCCAUGAUCUGUGGAUCCUUCGGGUGAAGCAGGGAUUGCGGGAACAAACCUUGUACGCCAAACCUGCACUCUAUUCAGGUGGUAACGGUGCCCUGUGAGUAGGCCCCUUCAUUGGGGUCGAAAGCGAUUACGUGUCAACCAUACGCAUACGGGCCGACCGCCGGAAGUUACUGUGAACAAACCAGCGUGUUCAAAACAGGCGUUUGCCUUGAAUGAUAAAGCAUGGAAUAACAAGGGAUCGAUCGACUCGGAUCUUUUUGUUGGUUUUAACCCCGAGAAGAGUAAUUCAGGCGUCUAGUCCAUUCAGGCGAAGCCUUCGGGCCCAACCUGUCUGGCUUUUCGCCUUACUGGGAUCAAUAGGGACUGCCGGGGUCGUACGUACUCUCACGUCAGAGGUGAAAUUCUUGGAUCGUGGGGAGACGAACUUCUGCGAAAGCAUUCGACAAGAAUGUCUUCAUUAAUCAAGAACGAGAGUGUGGGGAUCGAAGAUGAUCAGAUACCGUCGUAGUCCACUACUGUAAACGAUGCCGUCUCACGAUCGAGAGCUUGUCAUUUAAGUAUCUCACGGCACUCCCUGAAACGAGAAAUCAGAGAUUAUGGGUUCAGGGGGGAGUACAUUCGCAAGGCUGAAACUUAAAGGAAUUGACGGAAUGACACCACCAGGCGUGGAGUAUGCGGCUUAAUUUGACUCAACACGGGGAAUUUUACUAGGUCAGGACAGUGUAAGGAUUGACAGAUUGAGAGCUCUUUCUCGAUCCAUUGUGUGGUGGUGCAUGGCCGCUCCUGGUUGGUGGAGUGAUUUGUCUGGUUGAUUCCGUUAACGAACGAGAUCUCGACCCUUUAAUAGGUGCAGCUGUCGUAUUGUAGUUCCGGUGCAACUGCCUUCGGGCAGGGGCCUGGUUUGAGACAGGCUGGAUUACUUCUUAAGGGGACUGUGUGUGCUCCCAGCACGCGGAAGAGCGAGCCAAUAGCAGGUCUGUGAUGCUCCUAAAUGUCCUAGGCUGCACGCGCACUACACUGACGCAUUAAACGAGCCUGAUUGCCUACGGGCAACCUGCCUUGAAGAGGGUGGGAAACCUUUUGAACUUGCGUCGUGAUGAGGAUCGAUGAUUGCAAUUAUUCUCCUUGAAUGAGGAAUGCCUAGUAGGCGCAAGUCAUCAGCUUGCACUGAUUACGUCCCUGCCAUUUGUACACACCGCCCGUCGUUGCUACCGAUUGGCUGUGGGACAGAGCCCGAGGGAGGGUGCGUACCUGGCUUGCCUUGUAUGCGUCCAAACUCGAGCAAUGUUUCUCAGCUAGAGGAAGCAAAAGUCGUAACAAGGUUGCU
This 2010-nucleotide ribosomal RNA is filed under the name Sulcionema specki. RNAcentral describes it as "SSU rRNA". It matches the Rfam family "Eukaryotic small subunit ribosomal RNA". The record is from RNAcentral. Lineage: Eukaryota; Euglenozoa; Diplonemea; Diplonemida; Diplonemidae.